This 497-nucleotide ribosomal RNA is filed under the name uncultured bacterium. Its description in RNAcentral is "partial 16S ribosomal RNA". It matches the Rfam family "Bacterial small subunit ribosomal RNA", at positions 28 to 507 of the family's 1533-position model. The record is from RNAcentral.
GAUGAACGCUGGCGGCGUGCCUAAUACAUGCAGGUCGAGCGAACAGACGAGGAGCUUGCUCCUCUGACGUUAGCGGCGGACGGGUGAGUAACACGUGGAUAACCUACCUAUAAGACUGGGAUAACUUCGGGAAACCGGAGCUAAUACCGGAUAAUAUAUUGAAUCGCAUGGUUCAAUAGUGAAAGACGGUUUUGCUGUCACUUAUAGAUGGAUCCGCGCCGCAUUAGCUAGUUGGUAAGGUAACGGCUUACCAAGGCAACGAUGCGUAGCCGACCUGAGAGGGUGAUCGGCCACACUGGAACUGAGACACGGUCCAGACUCCUACGGGAGGCAGCAGUAGGGAAUCUUCCGCAAUGGGCGAAAGCCUGACGGAGCAACGCCGCGUGAGUGAUGAAGGUCUUCGGAUCGUAAAACUCUGUUAUUAGGGAAGAACAAAUGUGUAAGUAACUAUGCACGUCUUGACGGUACCUAAUCAGAAAGCCACGGCUAACUACGUG